Molecule: ribosomal RNA, 50 nt
Filed under: Ceriops australis
Lineage: Eukaryota; Viridiplantae; Streptophyta; Magnoliopsida; Malpighiales; Rhizophoraceae
Description: partial 26S ribosomal RNA
Source: RNAcentral
ACGACCCCAGGUCCAGCAAGACUACCUGCUGAGUUUAAGCAUAUCAAUAA